UUGGUGAAAUGAAAACAACUCAUUUAUGUUGCAAGCGAAGUAAAUGUUCGGUUUUACCCAAACUUAGCGCUUCAUUACCUGUUGAUCAUUGUUAUGGCUGAAUGAUUUUAUGGAGAAAAAUUGAUGCAACUAAUUAUACUACUCCACAAAUCUGAAGGAAAAAUUUGCGACAGUUGUGCUAAGUGGUCUGUCGGGGUAUGAGGUGUCCUGAUUACGAAUUUCAGUUCAAAAAUUUUCUAUCACGUACAGGUGGUGGUUUGACCCCUACACCCCUUGACUACAACACAAAAAAAUCUCGACAAAUACUCGACAUUACUGUUAGCUUCAAAUGUUUUCUUCCUUCAAGAAUUCGUCGUUUUAACUUUCGUUUAUAUGUUAGAAAUCUUAGUAACUGAGCGGCCACACGUACCAGUAACUGUUCGAAAAUCUCAUAUAAAUAUUUUUACCACACAGUCCUAAUGUUCGGACUGGCAAUACUACUGUAAAGUAAAUUUCCAUGGUUAAAUUAUAUAAGGUUGUGUCAGUCGCCAAAAACAAAAACAAUUUGUCAAAAGUGUUUUAACUCAUAAUGUCAAAUUCGGCUAUUUUGUUUUUAUGUUCCAAAAAUAUAUUUUUAAAACAUUCCAUCCAAUAAAAUGUGUUUUUUAAGUGAUAACUGAAUUCGAAGAGAAUAGAGGUGACGAUAUUUUUGUAGAUCUUUACAGUAUUUGUUGCGAAUUUCCAGGAAUACCAUUGGAGCCUUAUGCCACAAGUUCUUUAAGCGAUUUAUAAUGCUUUUCAAAAGCAAUUUAUGAAGCACUCGGAUCUCCAUGCACCAUUCAAAUAAACUAAUUUUGAACUCAUCGGUAUUGUAAACGCUUCGCAAUAUUUCUCUUCGAAAAGUGUGGAUUGUUUCGUGAUGUUCACACUCUAAAAUUAGGUGAAACCAUGAAGUUCCGGACAAUUUGAGAGUGAACUUUUGCAAUUGGAUAUUUUGGGUGUCCUUGAUACUCCGAGCAACUUUACUUUUAGCCUGAUGCUUACAAAUUACUUAGGACCUUCCACUACCAUCAAGUCUUCCAACUUCAGCAGUAUUUUUGAAAUCAACAAUAAUGUACAGUGGCCAAAAUAAAAAAGCUUGUACAGAGAGAUGUUUUGACUUUGAAGAGACUUUUUUCUUGAACUAUUUCAACUUUUAAACUGCAACCAAAAGUAACAAUAUUAGAAUAGUAUUUGAUGUUAACGAUUCCAAAAAAUUUAGAUAUCUCACUUUUGAGCAGCCAAAAAAACGUGUAUGUUACACAUACGUUGGUAACACUUUAAAUGCAGUUAUGAAGUAGGUACCGUUUUUUGUCUGGUAUUAUUUGAGAUUCACAUAUUGUUUCUCUUGGUUGCAGCUUAAAAGUUGAAAUAGUUUAAGAGAAAAUUCACUUAAAAGUUAAAACAGCUCUUUGUACAAGUUUUUUGUUCACUGUGUAUACCAUAUAUUAAAAUACAUAACUCCAUAGAUUAGUUUUAAGUGGUACAAACAACCGUCAACAAAACUAUUUUACUCUGUGGCAACUUGGUGCAUGUUCGUAUUAACUAAUGUAUUAUAUAUUGUCGGAGACUCACUUAGUUUCAUAAUUACAUAUUGUUUCGUGUCCGAAAUAUCUUUAAAAUCAACCUAAUUACCUCAAUUGAGUUUUAUGUGAUAUAAACUCAACCAAACUAAACUUAAUAUAUUGGUUAUACGAGAAAAAAAGCCAUCUAAA
This is a long non-coding RNA of Bactrocera oleae (olive fruit fly), 1733 nucleotides long. RefSeq lists it as uncharacterized. The record is from RefSeq and is a predicted model, not a curated record. Lineage: Eukaryota; Metazoa; Arthropoda; Insecta; Diptera; Tephritidae.